This 547-nucleotide unclassified non-coding RNA is filed under the name Hevea brasiliensis (rubber tree). Lineage: Eukaryota; Viridiplantae; Streptophyta; Magnoliopsida; Malpighiales; Euphorbiaceae. The record is from RNAcentral.
CUUAUUAAUUUAUUAUUUCAUAUAGAAUAUAUUAUACAGAAUCACUGCUAUAAGACUAUGAAAUCUGAUUACUACGUUGUAUUAAACGACAUUGUCUGUCGUAACAAAGUGUUUUUUAUGGGAUCAGAAAGAACACAGCAUUAGCAAAUCAGAACCGUUCAUUUUUUCUUUGAGACUAAAUCAUGCCGGUCUAUCACCCUGCCAAAUUCGCAAUGCGCUUUCACUCGCAUUCCUUACCCACGCUCCUAGUGCCGCGUAUUCCUCAAACGCCCUAACAUCAAUCCUGCACUCCAUGAACUUUGGAAAAAACAGCCAAAACGCUGUCGUCAUGACGAACCCAACUGUCAAGAUUCCAGACAAUAACCCCGGCAGUUGCCACUUGUCUUUUAUCAUCUUCUUUAGAGCAAUCUCCGCGGUUAAACAGAAUCCAUGUAGAAUAAAGAACGCAGUGAUGUCCCACGUGGGUCUCACGCGCCCCAGGUAGUAGAACAUGAGCUCGUGCAUUACUGCUGACACCACAAAUGUUCCGAAAACAGCUGGGAGCGUU